This 322-nucleotide unclassified non-coding RNA is filed under the name uncultured fungus. RNAcentral describes it as "partial contains small subunit ribosomal RNA, internal transcribed spacer 1, and 5.8S ribosomal RNA". The stretch from base 1 to 73 matches the Rfam family "Eukaryotic small subunit ribosomal RNA", at positions 1759 to 1831 of the family's 1831-position model. Lineage: Eukaryota; Fungi. The record is from RNAcentral.
UCAAACUUGGUCAUUUAGAGGAAGUAAAAGUCGUAACAAGGUUUCCGUAGGUGAACCUGCGGAAGGAUCAUUAAUGAGUUAGGGUCUCCCAGGCCCGAUCUCCCAACCCUUUGUUUACUGAAAUCUUAUGUUGCUUCGGCGGGCCCGUCCACUUGUGACCGCCGGAGGGCCACCGAGAGGUGUCCUCUGGCCCGCGCCCGUCGAUGGCCCAUAACCUAAACUCUGAAUGAAUCGUGUCCUUAUUGUCUAAGUCUAUUGUUAAAUACAAAGCAAAACUUUCAACAACGGAUCUCUUGGUUCUGGCAUCGAUGAAGAACGCAGC